Molecule: long non-coding RNA, 432 nt
Filed under: Vigna radiata
Lineage: Eukaryota; Viridiplantae; Streptophyta; Magnoliopsida; Fabales; Fabaceae
Description: long non-coding RNA (VRAD_LNC010053)
Source: RNAcentral
AAUCAAGAAUUAUCAACAGAGUCAAGCCAAGGCAAAUGUGCAAGCAAUCCAGAGACAUAUCACACACAAGAAAGAUCAUCAAAUGGCUCAAAUCUCACAUAGGUAAUCGGUCACAAUCAAUCCAACUCUCAAACAUCAUGAUUAUCUUCCAAGCAAAGAAGAGCAAGGAGUCCAACAAAACAGAGUAUCAAUGCAGUGAAGGGAAACUAGCAACCUAAUCACAGUCCAGAAUUCAGAAAAAGCAUGCAAAAUUGUACACAAGACUCAACAAAAUUCACUAGAAAACGAAAUCUAAACAAAGAACAACCUCCCCUAAUAGACCACACUUAAACGACACAAUGUCCUCAGUGUGUCACAANCAGCAGAUCAACAAUCAGCACAGUCAGCAGAUAUAGACAAAGUGCAAUAAAAGUGAGGAGGGAAGGAGAAAAG